Molecule: ribosomal RNA, 468 nt
Filed under: uncultured bacterium
Lineage: Bacteria
Description: partial 16S ribosomal RNA
Rfam family: Bacterial small subunit ribosomal RNA
Source: RNAcentral
GACGAACGCUGGCGGCGGGCUUAACACAUGCAAGUCGAACGGAAAGGCCCUGCUUUUGUGGGGUGCUCGAGUGGCGAACGGGUGAGUAACACGUGAGUAACCUGCCCUUGACUUUGGGAUAACUUCAGGAAACUGGGGCUAAUACCGGAUAGGAGCUCCUGCUGCAUGGAGGGGGUUGGAAAGUUUCGGCGGUUGGGGAUGGACUCGCGGCUUAUCAGCUUGUUGGUGGGGUAGUGGCUUACCAAGGCUUUGACGGGUAGCCGGCCUGAGAGGGUGACCGGCCACAUUGGGCCUGCGAUACGGCCCAGAGUGCUACGGGAGGCAACAGUGGGGAAUAUUGCACAAUGGGCGGAAGCCUGAUGCAGCAACGCCGCGUGCGGGAUGACGGCCUUCGGGUUGUAAACCGCUUUCGCCUGUGACGAAGCGUGAGUGACGGUAAUGGGUAAAGAAGCACCGGCUAACUACGUG